This 515-nucleotide ribosomal RNA is filed under the name uncultured bacterium. RNAcentral's name for it is "bacterial SSU rRNA". It matches the Rfam family "Bacterial small subunit ribosomal RNA", at positions 18 to 518 of the family's 1533-position model. The record is from RNAcentral.
CCUGGCUCAGGAUGAACGCUGGCGGCGUGCUUAACACAUGCAAGUCGAACGGAGUAUCUCUCCCGAGAUCAAAGAAGCUUGCUUCUGCGAAAUCAAUUGAGAUACUAGUGGCGGACGGGUGAGUAACGCGUGGGUAACCUGCCUCACACAGGGGGAUAACAGUUGGAAACGACUGUUAAUACCGCAUAAGCGCACGGUACCGCAUGGUACAGUGUGAAAAAACUCCGGUGGUGUGAGAUGGACCCGCGUCUGAUUAGCUAGUUGGUGAGGUAACGGCCCACCAAGGCGACGAUCAGUAGCCGGCCUGAGAGGGUAAACGGCCACAUUGGGACUGAGACACGGCCCAAACUCCUACGGGAGGCAGCAGUGGGGAAUAUUGCACAAUGGGGGAAACCCUGAUGCAGCGAACCGCCGCGUGAGCGAUGAAGUAUUUCGGUAUGUAAAGCUCUAUCAGCAGGGAAGAUAAUGACGGUACCUGACUAAGAAGCACCGGCUAAAUACGUGCCAGCCGCGGC